Molecule: ribosomal RNA, 450 nt
Filed under: uncultured bacterium
Lineage: Bacteria
Description: bacterial SSU rRNA
Rfam family: Bacterial small subunit ribosomal RNA
Source: RNAcentral
GUGGGGAAUAUUGGACAAUGGGCGAAAGCCUGAUCCAGCCAUGCCGCGUGUGUGAAGAAGGUCUUCGGAUUGUAAAGCACUUUAAGUUGGGAGGAAGGGCAGUAAGUUAAUACCUUGCUGUUUUGACGUUACCGACAGAAUAAGCACCGGCUAACUUCGUGCCAGCAGCCGCGGUAAUACGAAGGGUGCAAGCGUUAAUCGGAAUUACUGGGCGUAAAGCGCGCGUAGGUGGUUUUGUAAGUUGGAGGUGAAAUCCCCGGGCUCAACCUGGGAACUGCCUCCAAAACUGCAUGACUAUAGUACGGUAGAGGGUAGUGGAAUUUCCUGUGUAGCGGUGAAAUGCGUAGAUAUAGGAAGGAACACCAGUGGCGAAGGCGACUACCUGGACUGAUACUGACACUGAGGUGCGAAAGCGUGGGGAGCAAACAGGAUUAGAAACCCGAGUAGUCC